GGAGAUUAGCUCAGUGGUAGAGCGCUUGCCUAGGAAGCGCAAGGCCCUGGGUUCGGUCCCCAGCUCCG
RNAcentral lists this transfer RNA (68 nucleotides) under Rattus norvegicus (Norway rat). It matches the Rfam family "tRNA". Rfam says of the family: Transfer RNA (tRNA) molecules are approximately 80 nucleotides in length. Their secondary structure includes four short double-helical elements and three loops (D, anti-codon, and T loops). Lineage: Eukaryota; Metazoa; Chordata; Mammalia; Rodentia; Muridae. The record is from Rfam by way of RNAcentral.